CAGAAAGAAGCGCCGGCUAACUACGUGGCCAGCAGCGCGGUAAUAACGUAAGGGCGGCGAGCGUUGGUCCGGAAUUAUUGGGCGGUAAAGAAGCUCCGUAGGCGGCUUGUCCACGUCGGAUGUUGAAAGGCCCGGGGCCUAACCCCGGGUCUGCAUUCGAUACGGGCUAGGCUAGAAGGUGGUAGGGGAGAUUCGAAUUUCCUGGGUAGCGGUGAAAUGCGCAGAUAUCAGGAGGAACCCCCGUUGCGAAGGCGGAUUUCUGGGCCAUUUAUUGCCGUGAAGAACGGAAGCGUGGGGAACGAACAGGAAUAGAUUCCCUGGUAAGUCCCCCCGUUAACCGUGGGACAUAGGUGUUGGGGACCAUCCCAGUUGUCGGUGCCGCAAGUUACGCAAUAAGUUCCCCGCCUGGGGAAUUCGGCCGCCAGGGUAAAACUCAAAGGAAUUGACCGGGGCCCGCCCCAGCAGCGGAGCAAGUGGGUUAAUUUGGCGCAACGGGAAGAACCUUUCCAAGGCUUGACCUAUCCCGGAAAGCCUCCGAGAAGGUGCCCCCCUUGUGGUUGGUAUACCGGUGGGGCCUGGCUGUUGUCAAGUUGGGUUGUGAGAUGUUGGGGUAAAUCCCGCAACGAGCGCCACCCUUGUUCCGUGUUGCCCACCUGCCCUUCGGGGUGAUGGGGACUCACAGGAGACCGCCGGGGUCAACUCGGAGGAAGGUGGGGACGACGUCAAGUCAUCAUGCCCCUUAUGUCUUGGGCUGCACACGUGCUACAAUGGCCGGUACAAUGAGCUGCGAUGCCGCGAGGCGGAGCGAAUCUCAAAAAGCCGGUCUCAGUUCGGAUUGGGGUCUGCAACUCGACCCCAUGAAGUCGGAGUUGCUAGUAAUCGCAGAUCAGCAUUGCUGCGGUGAAUACGUUCCCGGGCCUUGUACACACCGCCCGUCACGUCACGAAAGUCGGUAACACCCGAAGCCGGUGGCCCAACCCCUUGUGGGAGGGAGCUGUCGAAGGUGGGACUGGCGAUGGACGAAGUCGUAACAAGAGCCCACGG
This 1044-nucleotide ribosomal RNA is filed under the name Streptomyces sp. RNAcentral describes it as "bacterial SSU rRNA". It matches the Rfam family "Bacterial small subunit ribosomal RNA", at positions 481 to 1504 of the family's 1533-position model. The record is from RNAcentral. Lineage: Bacteria; Bacillati; Actinomycetota; Actinomycetes; Kitasatosporales; Streptomycetaceae.